RNAcentral lists this ribosomal RNA (460 nucleotides) under uncultured bacterium. RNAcentral's name for it is "partial 16S ribosomal RNA". It matches the Rfam family "Bacterial small subunit ribosomal RNA", at positions 338 to 795 of the family's 1533-position model. The record is from RNAcentral.
CCUACGGGUGGCAGCAGUGAGGAAUAUUGGUCAAUGGACGAGAGUCUGAACCAGCCAAGUAGCGUGAAGGAUGACUGCCCUAUGGGUUGUAAACUUCUUUUAUAUGGGAAUAAAAUGUUCCACGUGUGGGAUUUUGUAUGUACCAUAUGAAUGAGGAUCGGCUAACUCCGUGCCAGCAGCCGCGGUAAUACGGAGGAUCCGAGCGUUAUCCGGAUUUAUUGGGUUUAAAGGGAGCGUAGGUGGAUUGUUAAGUCAGUUGUGAAAGUUUGCGGCUCAACCGUAAAAUUGCAGUUGAAACUGGCAGUCUUGAGUACAGUAGAGGUGGGCGGAAUUCGUGGUGUAGCGGUGAAAUGCUUAGAUAUCACGAAGAACUCCGAUUGCGAAGGCAGUUCACUGGACUGCAACUGACACUGAGGCUCGAAAGUGUGGGUAUCAAACAGGAUUAGAUACCCGUGUAGUC